RNAcentral lists this non-coding RNA (25 nucleotides) under Rattus norvegicus (Norway rat). The record is from RNAcentral. Lineage: Eukaryota; Metazoa; Chordata; Mammalia; Rodentia; Muridae.
GCCAGAAUCCUACAGCUUGGUGUUC